Molecule: long non-coding RNA, 4439 nt
Organism: Musca domestica (house fly)
Lineage: Eukaryota; Metazoa; Arthropoda; Insecta; Diptera; Muscidae
Exons: 3
Source: RefSeq, a predicted model, not a curated record
GAAGAAGAAUAAAAUAUGGCCAAAAAAAAGAUAAUUUGUGAGUAGAAACACUUUAGAAAUAAACAACGCAAAAACACUAAUGUGUGUGCUUGCAUUUUUGAUAGUUGAUAGAUGAUGGCGACAAAAAAUGGUUUAUUACAUAAUAUCAUGGAAACAAAAAGUACUUUUCGAAAUAGCAUACCCAUACGUGCACAACCAUCAUCAUCAUGUAUACACAUCAGUGUACAAAUAUUAUCGGCUAACACACUCACACCUAUGUAUGUCUGUUAUAACAACAAAGAGAUUUCAAGAAAUAAGUUAGAAACAACAAAUACAAUGAAAAUAUAAACGAAAACAAACAAAUAUUUAACAAAAAAAACAUUCACUCUCACAAAUUCAGACACAUGGUCAAUUCGUGGCAAAGUGUAUGUGUGCUUGGCUGGUUUGCCAAAGAAAACGAAAGACUAAAGACACAAACACGAUUGUUUAGACAAACACACAGACAAAAUGGAAUUUAUUGGUAAAUAGUACAGUACAGUGAUUCCAAAGGGAAAAAUCAAGAAAAUUAUCAAAAAUAUUAUUGGAUUUUUUAAAAUUUUUGUGGUUUUCGAAACCUUAGAAAAACACACAAGCCAAAAUCUUCAUUUGUUUCUAGUAACUCUAGAACGGACCUUCGAAGUCGCUUACAGCUUUGUUAUCAAGAAGUUCAAUAUAUUUCAGAGUCAUGAAUACCGUAUAAGUAUAUAUUUUUAUAUAGAACAUUUGUUUUCAAAUGCGAAUAAUUUCAUUAUCUAGCCUUUUUCAACCACAUUGCAACAAUUUCUGCUGGUAUUGUUUUAUGAAUUUCAAAUUGGCUUCACUUGGUGGAAAUAUCAGCUUAACAGUCUCUAUCAAGCACAUACAUCAUCCAACGAUGUACGAACAUUUUGUGGCUCCACGAAUUCACACAUAAUGAAGCCGAGAAAUAAAAGCAAAUAAGUGCAAAUGGUGCCAUGCACCAAGCUAUCGACAAGAAAUUGCAUUUUUCACUGUGGGAUUUCUUACGAUUUUGUUUUCAGUUGUUGCUUGUGUUUUUUUGUUUCUUGUCUUUUUCUCUUUGUUUUUGUGGAACUACAGCUGUUUACAGAUUUCUACCACUUGAACAGUCAACAUCUCUCACCUUAUAUAGAAAGAUGAGUUGCAGUUUUGGGACCAACUGCAAGAUGGCAACUUGUGGUUAAAGCUGUAAUUUACCUACAUCAUAAACUUUGGCAUUUGUUAUGUUGCGGUUUGGUAUAUAUAUGUGUGUGUAUGUGUUUUUCUGUCGUUUUUUAUUAUUUCUUUGGAAAUCGUUGUAACCAGAGGCUGCAGAUGCUUUCACUUUAUCACCGUCAUCAUUAUCACUGGACCUGACAGUUCAUGAAACAACUUGGCAAAAUCGUUCAUAUUUAAAUGAACUUUUCUUUGCGGCAAGACACGAUUAAUUGAAUUUGAAUUGAAAUGUAAUGAAAGAAAGAAGAAAUAAAUAAUAAGAGAAACGGGUAAUAACAAUAUUGUUCAUGCCACUAAAUGUAAAUUUGCAUUUAAUCGCAUUGCCAUUAUAAUAGACUGUGAGGACUAUAUAUCUCUGCUGCCAUCGCCAUCACCUUUUUGCACGUUGUUGUAAUUGGGUUUAUUGUUGAAAUCAAUUGUUGCAUGUUUUAUGGAAAUUUGCUUCAUUGAUUUCAUUAUUACUACUGCUGCUGCUGCUGUGUUGCUGUUGUUGUUCCUAUUGGUAUUUACAAUGCAUGCAAUUGUUGCUAGUUAAGUUACCUUCGGUUGCAUUUCAAUGCAACGAAAACAAAAAACAAGCAUCAAACAAACAUACAAACGGAUACUGAUCUCAGCCAUGCAUUUCUGUUGGUAUGUACAUACAUACAUACAUACAUAUAUAAGAGAAUAGGUUUUAGCAUUUAAUUUAUGGCUCUAGAUUUGUGGAAAAUGCACAGACAUCCAUAGAUGUGUCCAUUUUAGUUUUUGUGGCUAGUUGAUUUUAUGAAACGAUUUUUUUCGUUUUUUUUUUUUUUGCCAAUUGUCAUGAACCGUAUCGCAUCAAUAAAUGCGAUUGUAGUGGUUUAUGCCUUCCUGUGUGUUGCUGAAAUUAUGUGGGCGUUUAGAUGAUGUCACAUAUCUUCCUCUCUCCACAAAAAUUAAAACUCAACAAUAGUUGGAUAAUAUAUUUCAAACUCACAAGUGUUAAGUAAGAGAUGAAUCCGAGAAAAUAGUUAUGUAUCAUUGAUAUCCAGACGAAACGUCUUUGGCUAAGAUAGCAGUGUUGUCGAUUAGAAUCACCAGUUCCGAGUACUUAAAUUCCGUAUUAUAAAUACGGCUAAUGGCUAUGUUAAAUAUAUAUUUACUUAUUAUAUUACCCUUAUGGAUGCUUAUUUCGAAUUUUAUGAUAGUUUUGGUUAUUCAACACUUUGAUCCUUUGAGUGGGAGGUACCAGAAGGAAUGGUACGACCUGUACAGAUCUUGUGCUGAUAGAAAUAUGAAGAUGUGCCAAGUGUCAAAACAGAUCUCGUGUUAUCGAUAAUGUUGCGAUGUGUGGAAUAUGAAGGGAACCGGAUGCUUAUUUUGAAUUUUAUGAUCGUUUUGGUUAUUCAAAUCUUUGACCCUUUGUGUGGGAGGUACCAGAAGGAAUGGUCCAAUCUCUACCAUAUUUAUAACAGAUCUUGUCCCGAUAGAUAUAUUUAGAUGUGAAUGGAAUCAGAUGUUAAUUUCUCGUUUUAUGAGCUUUAUGGGUAUUCAAAAUGUUUAACCUUGGGGGGGGGGGGGGGUACCAGAAGGAAUGGAUCGAUAUAUUCCAUCUUCACACCAGACCUUAGGUUAACAAAAGUAUUGUGAUGUGAGUAAUUUGAAGACAAUCGGAUACUUAUAUCACAUUUUUUAAGAGUUAUAAUUAUUCAAAUUCUUGACCCUUUGUGGGAGAGGUACUUAAUGAAGUGGGCAGUACCAAAUGUCAGUACCAAACAGAGCACAGAUUUCCUCGUUAUCUUUGUGGAGGGAUUACUCGAAGAGUGGGAGUUUUAUAUAGAGUUUUCUCUUAAGGCUUUUGUUUUGCGUGGAAGAGCUCCCUAGUUUUCAUCAGAUAUGUCAUAUAUAAUGUGGAAAAUGGCUAUCGCAUUUUUAAACAGAAGUAAUACUUCAAAAAAUCGUUUCAGACUUUGUAAUCACUUCAAAGUUGUGAAAACUUUGUAAAUCUGCAAUAACCGUUUCUGUUUACAAUGUGAUCGAUAACUUAAUAUUGUCACGCUAACUGACAUCAUCAACGAACCUUAACCGGCAAAUGUCACAUGAUGCAUUACACAACCUGUAAUGAAUGCAUUGCCUGCUUAGCCCUCCUCCCUCCCCCCGUCAAUCAUUUCACAUUCUAAUCUAUUGAACGAAAGUUCAUUUACAUCAGUCGCCAUUUAACUUUCGCUUAAUGGCCUGAGGAGGUCGGCUUGAGUGUACAAUACCCUCUCUUAACUCUCCAUAAAUAGAUAUAUCUCUGGCUGUCACAAUAAUUAUAGUCUAUAGACCAUUUAGUGAAGUUAAUGCUGGGGCUUUUCCAUUUUUUGUUUUGUGAAAAAUAGAAACUAAUAAAGCAUGAAAUUAAUUUCGUUUAAUACCCGGUCAUUUAUGACAAAAAAAAGACAACAACAAAAACAAUAGACCAAUAUUAUGAGUAAACGAUUAGAUGAGGAGCUAUGAAUAUUUUCGUCUUGCUUUGUACUGUGUCGGCAAAAUGAUUUGCAUGCGGAAAAUCCAUUGUUUCCAUGGAGCAACAAAAUAGCUUGCAAUUUUCAGUUGCUGGAAAUCAACAACAAAUUAUGAUGAACCUUGACGAUAAAAAAUGCCAGAUAUAAAAUGAAAACAACUACAACAACAUCAACAGUACUAAUCAGUGCCAUGGUACGGACCGGACCAAACCGGACCACCAACCAAUGAAACGUGCGGACAAUUUGCUGUGAUGGUUAAAUGUUUGUCUCUGCAAUUCAUCUAUUGUGAAACUAAUCGUUAUUUAAGUAUUCUUUGAUUACCAUUUAAUUGCUCAUCAUGAAUGUAUGGACAUUAAUGUUCUUAAAAACUCCGAGAAAAUGUUGAUGAUGAUUCGAUUUGUAAACACUUUUUUAUCUUUGAUACUAAAUAAUUUGUCUCUGAGAAUAAGAGGUAAUAAAACAUUGAACAGAUUUGUUGAAGUCAAUCAAGAAAUUCUCAAAGAAGCCCUAACUAUUUGAUUUAGAUUUUUAGGCAGUCUUUAAAAAUAAAAUCAAUGUUUAAUUAUUAGCAAAGAAAAUAGGAAACUGGUGAGAAUUGGUAGCUCAGGCAGAGAAGACCGCCUUCCAUUUCUUUUUUUGUUUUUGCACUACUAAAAAAAAACAUUUUCAUUAGAAAUAAUUGCAAUCUAUUUUAAAAUAAUAAAUUGUAUAUGACAUUCCAAUAAGUAAAAGCUGGUUCUG